This 264-nucleotide ribosomal RNA is filed under the name uncultured bacterium. RNAcentral's name for it is "partial 16S ribosomal RNA". It matches the Rfam family "Bacterial small subunit ribosomal RNA", at positions 16 to 275 of the family's 1533-position model. The record is from RNAcentral.
GUCCUGGCUCAGGAUGAACGCUAGCGACAGGCUUAACACAUGCAAGUCGAGGGGCAGCGGGGAGUAGCAAUACUUCGCCGGCGACCGGCGCACGGGUGAGUAACACGUGUGCAACCAACCCCGUACCGGGAGAUAACCCGCGGAAACGUGGACUAACAUCCCAUGAGACUCUAGAGCCGCAUGGCUCUAGAUUUAAAAUUCCGGUGGUACGGGACGGGCACGCGCGACAUUAGGUAGUUGGCGGGGUAACGGCCCACCAAGCCG